UUGAAAGGGAAACGAUUGAAGUCAGUCAUGCCAGUGGGAAUCAACUUAGGGGAAACUCUGGGUGCACUUCUUCGCUUGGCAGGUCAACGUCGAUUUUGAAUGUCAUAAAAUAAUUGGGGGAAGGUAGCUCCUUCGGGAGUGUUAUAGCCCUUGAUAGAUGUGAUGUUUGGGGUCGAGGAUUGCAACGGAUACCCUUCGGGGCUAGCCGCCUGAUCUCUAAUUGGUGUUGGGUUACGGAUAGCAUGCUGACCGUUUUCUAAUUACUGGUUAAAAGGUUAGAGUGUGCAUAAAUUCGUUAAGGAUGUUGACGUA
RNAcentral lists this ribosomal RNA (312 nucleotides) under uncultured Glomeromycotina. Its description in RNAcentral is "LSU rRNA". The record is from RNAcentral. Lineage: Eukaryota; Fungi; Glomeromycota.